UCGGGGAUAGCUGAACGGUAAAGCGCAGGGCUGGCCAACCUGAGGAUAGUGGUUCGACUCCACUGCUCCGAU
Molecule: transfer RNA, 72 nt
Filed under: Lactiplantibacillus plantarum
Lineage: Bacteria; Bacillati; Bacillota; Bacilli; Lactobacillales; Lactobacillaceae
Also listed under: 1 other name
Description: Lactobacillus plantarum tRNA-Ala
Rfam family: tRNA
About the family: Transfer RNA (tRNA) molecules are approximately 80 nucleotides in length.
Source: RNAcentral